GUCGUUUUGGGCCAAAAAAAUGGGAAAGGGCUUCGUUCAUGUAAGGAAACCCUAAUCCCAAACGACCAAACCACACUAACACACAGAACAGAGAAACACUAUCUUCUCCAAGACUCCAAGCCCUCACUCUCUUCUCCAAGCCCAUCGUGCCGCCAUCCACCAUUGUCUGCGCCACCACGUCGGAGGCUGGACGGAUCCCACGCCAUCUUCUUCCUCGUGGUGCAGCACUGCCACCGUCGUUCAUGUCCACUUCUCAGUCCUCACUUCGUCGGUGAAGGUGAAGGCUGACGACGACGCUGAAGGUUCCUCAACGCUUCACGGCACUUCUGUUCUUCCCCUCGUUCCUCACCUUUGGUUUGUGUUCCUCGCCCUCUGUUCUGCCUGAGCUGAAGGUUGCCUGAGCUGCCUCUCUUCUUCUUUGGUUCUAUCUGAGCUUCCUUCUCCAAGGGACAAAAAUACAAAAUGUCUGAUGAAGAUGGUGAAGGUGAUGAUGUUGAUGCCAUGGAAGAUGAAGAUGUUGGAGGAUUUCAGUUUUAGUCUUUUAUUUUAUUAGAACAUUUAAUUGUUGCUUU
This is a non-coding RNA of Arachis ipaensis, 572 nucleotides long. Lineage: Eukaryota; Viridiplantae; Streptophyta; Magnoliopsida; Fabales; Fabaceae. The record is from RefSeq and is a predicted model, not a curated record.